RNAcentral lists this long non-coding RNA (476 nucleotides) under Prunus persica (peach). Its description in RNAcentral is "long non-coding RNA (PPER_LNC008427)". The record is from RNAcentral. Lineage: Eukaryota; Viridiplantae; Streptophyta; Magnoliopsida; Rosales; Rosaceae.
AUUUCCAAUUGAUGAUGUUACCUCUUUAACCGCUGUGCUCCAUAAAUUUAGAAACUCCAGAUGUUCCAUAGCCUCCGAGAUUUCUGGGAAGUGUUCAAGGUUAGAGCAACGACUGAGAUCAAGGCUCUCCAGAGAUUUCAACUUCCAAAUGUUCGUUGGGAGACUCACAAGGUUGUUGCAAUCACCAAGAUCUAAUUUUCGAAGCUCAACUAGAUUUCCAAUUGAUGGGGGUAGCUCUUUAACCGCUGUAAAUGAUAAAUUUAGAAACUCCAGAUGUUCCAUAGCCUCCGAGAUUUCUGGGAAGUGUUCAAGGUUAGAGCAACGACUGAGAUCAAGGCUCUCCAGAUAUUUCAACUUCCAAAUGUUCGUUGGGAGACUCACAAGGCUUUUGCAAUUGAUCAGUUUAAUUGCAGUGAGACCAACAAACUUUAUUGAUUUAUUCCUCAAUUCUUUUAUUGUUGUACCACUCAAUUCUA